GAAACAGUGGGGGGGAAAGCGCUGUGUUUUAAUAUGUGUUUUGAAACAUACAAUCCACUAAUAUUCAAUCGUCUAAUUGUUUAUAUUCAUAUCUGCAUACAUAAAUAGUAUUUGUAAAAAAAUCAUUACCUAACCGCAGCGGCCCUUUUAUAUAGCUUAUGUUUCCAGAGGAAGUAAAUACUCAGCACAUCGCGCCAAAUUCCAAAUUCUUAACAUUUUAAGCAUAGGGUCAUCUCACAAUGUCAGCUAAAAGGGCUCUCCAACUAGAGGACAAGGAAAACGUAUGUGACAAAGCGACACCAAUGAAGAUGCCAGCUUUGGAGAGGACAUUCUCUCCUUACACAGGUACUCGUGUGAUGAGCCCUGCCACUGGGACUAAAGGCAAUUACCAAGCUAGAAGGAAGACCAGCAGUGCCCACAAAACACAAGCUGCACAACAGCAUAAACUGGAGAAGUUGCGUUCCAAGGUAAAGAAAUCAGUACAGUCCAUCCUGAAAGCUAGGCAGGAUCUUGAAAGCCAUUUGCCAUUAGAGGGCAGCAGCGAGUUAAGAAGACUCUUUCCAAGGAGACCUGGUGACCUGCUGACAGAACUAGAGAAGCACAGGGAGCUCGUGGCCAAAGUUGAGUUGAGUUUUGCCAUGGACAUGGUGGAUAGACAGAGUCGUUUAACAGGCUUCCCUCCCACAGGGAACUCCCAUGAGUUUCUGAAGUCACUCCUACGAUAAGCACCUGCGGCGCAGAGGUGAAGAGUGCUGCUGGCCACAGCAACGUCCACAGCACUGGCUUACCCAGCCCUCCUUUAAAGCUAGCAUCCCAGCCUGUCUUCUAUGGUCUACCUGACAACCCUACUUAUUCUGUAGACUCCUCUUCUGGACCAAAGUCUUGCUUGGGCCAUGUGAAAACAACAAAUAUUCACCACAUCCUCUGAGCAUCUGUGGUCCAUUCACUACACCCUGUUUGUGAAGACCUGGAAUAGUACUCACUUAUAAUCACAGGCCUGGUUGUAUUCUCUUUUGUGAUGUUCAUGCCAGUCUGUGUGUUUGUUUGUGUGUGUGUGUGAAGAGGGAAUGCUCUACUCCUCACAGAUUGUAGAAGUUUAAGCACUACAGUCCUGUUUUUGUACAUUCUGUGUUUUACUCCCAUUAGCCACACUUUGGACAGACAUUGUCUUCACAGCCAUAUUCCUGGCUGUGUGUGCUUGGUUGCCUGCAGGGCUAGUGUGGAACAGGCCGAACAACAGCGGCCCCUUUGUGACCUGAUAACAUUUAUAGUUGUAAUGGAUUUUUUUAAUGGCCGUCAUUAAGUCCCAAUGGAGAUGGAGGCGAGGUGGGGAGAGAGAUGGCUUGUGCCUCUUUCCUGUGCUGUUUCAGCUUUAUGGUGUUAUGCUCUCAUGUCAGCUUCCAUCAUUUUUGUUUUACAGCCUGGGUCUACACUUUUGUUCAAAUGUACAGCUCUGUGCGAGGACUCCUUUUGUAUUGACUUGUUACAAUUACCUGUUUUAUGAUAUUAAAUUAAAGGAUU
This is an RNA transcript of Alosa sapidissima (American shad), 1521 nucleotides long. It is a transcript of the gene named integrin subunit beta 3 binding protein, with no coding region annotated. The record is from RefSeq and is a predicted model, not a curated record. The transcript is spliced from 10 exons. Lineage: Eukaryota; Metazoa; Chordata; Actinopteri; Clupeiformes; Clupeidae.